AUUGAACGCUGGCGGAAUGCUUUACACAUGCAAGUCGAACGGCAGCACGGGGGCAACCCUGGUGGCGAGUGGCGAACGGGUGAGUAAUACAUCGGAACGUGCCCGGUCGUGGGGGAUAACGUAGCGAAAGUUACGCUAAUACCGCAUACGAUCUGAGGAUGAAAGCGGGGGACCUUCGGGCCUCGCGCGAUCGGAUCGGCCGAUGUCAGAUUAGGUAGUUGGUGGGGUAAAGGCCUACCAAGCCGACGAUCUGUAGCUGGUCUGAGAGUACGACCAGCCACACUGGGACUGAGACACGGCCCAGACUCCUACGGGAGGCAGCAGUGGGGAAUUUUGGACAAUGGGCGCAAGCCUGAUCCAGCCAUUCCGCGUGCAGGACGAAGGCCUUCGGGUUGUAAACUGCUUUUGUAUGGAACGAAAAGGCUCUGGCUAAUACCUGGGGCUCAUGACGGUACCGUAAGAAUAAGCACCGGCUAACUACGUG
This 484-nucleotide ribosomal RNA is filed under the name uncultured bacterium. RNAcentral describes it as "partial 16S ribosomal RNA". It matches the Rfam family "Bacterial small subunit ribosomal RNA", at positions 30 to 507 of the family's 1533-position model. The record is from RNAcentral.